AGUCGCCGUCAUGUAAAAUUGGCACCGUGUUUUUUGUAGAAAUUUUUUUAAAUAUCAGCCGCGUUCACUCGAGAUGACGUUUUUCAAUAAGCGGAAUAAAAAUCCUUUCCAAAUAUCCACUACUGUCCUACCUUUUAUUGUGUUUGCACUGUAUAAUCCUGACCUUCACAUUAUUCAAGAUUAUUUACAUUGUUAAUCCGCCAUCAUGGUUUCUAUGAGGAUCCUUUAUUUACAUAACAUUCGUUACUCUCCGGCAAUAUCCGUGUCAUUGAUGUGAUACAGUUUCCCGCGCUUUUUACAUGUAAACAAUAACACGAGUUGUGUAAUCGACAAGAUAAAUAUGUUACCUGAAUAUGACCCGGAGAAUGGACAGAAUGGUGUUUACACGAAGAAACAAUGAAAUAAAAAGUUGUUGGAACUAUAUAUCACAGAUGUUGAAACCAGUAUAUCACAGAUGUUGAAACUACGGUAUAUCACAGAUGUUGAAAGUAGGGUAUAUCACAGAUGUUGAAACUAUAUCACAGAUGUUGAAACUAUAUCACAGAUGUUGAUUUAAUGUAUACAGGAUGGGUUAAUAGCAAUCACUCAACUAACUGUCCAGAAACUGUUAUCAAAGAAUCAGUAACCGAAGAUUAAACAAAGACUAUUUUGCUGAUGACUACAGAGCAAAAAAAUAUUUCCAAUAUGUAUAGAUAUGUACUUCAAUACUGAAAUGUGUAUUUAAUGCAGAGCUUGCUGCAGACUUGGCAUGGUCACUGACUGGGAUUUCUUGUGCAGAUCAUAGAUGGUCCUUCUCACCACACCUUUGUCGAAAUCAUCCAACUUCUGGUUCUUCUUGACAGUUUUCUGGACAGCAGCCUUAUGAACUGCCUUCACCACAUCCUGCACAGCAUCAUCACUGGCAUCUGUAUGGACAUAACGUCGCAGUGUUGUUGGUUUAAUCCCUGAAAUUUCAAUUGUCCAUGUAUUUCAGCAUAUAACAUAAAAAUGAUAGAAAAAACUUGUAUAUAAUUGUAUAGAGUGGAUUCAAGGUGGUUGGGGGCAUUUAUAUAUCUUCUUGUUUGCAUAGUCAUAAAAAAUUGUUGUUGGACUUGCAUAGCUUGACAAUAUAUUUAAGGAAUAACAGUACUGUAGUUGAAGAGUUGCCACCGUCAAUUGUCGAUUUGACGAUCGCAAAUGCAGUUUUACUGGUGAUGCGUAGCGGAGACAGUAAAACGGAAAUUUCAACCGUCAAAUCAAAAUUGACGGUGGCAACUCUUCAACUACAGUACUGUUAUUCCGAUUCUAAUGCAAUACAAAAAGAAAUAAUACGUUAGAGCUUGACAAAAUGUAUAAAUUUCACAUACAAAAAAAUCCGCGAAACUUCUUGAAUGAUUUUGGCGCAAAAACGUCAUGGCUAAGUGUGACGUCAUUCAAAUGAAAACUGACAAACUGAAGGUUAUUACGUUACCUCUACGAUUUAAAUUCGGAUAAAAUCACAUUAAAACGGCGAAUUGGUUGUAGGUUUUGUUUUAUUUUCGAUAAUAUUGUAGUAAUCGAACAUUUGUUGAUCCAAUCAAUUCAAAAUGGCGGAUCCCUCCUUAGUUAAGCCUGGUCAACUGUGGAUUUGACGGUAACUUUUAGCCAAUGAAAAAAAUUGUUACAUAAAAAUUGCAUUAGAAUUCAAGUUUUCUUAUCACCACUUAAAUAUUUAUUAGAUUUGCCCCAAUUACAUUAUCUGAAACUUAUCCUAAUGUACACGUGAUUCAUCUAAAAUUACUAUAUUUGGUGUAUGUGGAAGGAUUGGAAUGGAACUCAUGUCCAAGGGUACAUCUGACCCUCGCUUCAUUUUCAUGUUUAAUUGUUGAUGUGUAUUUACAGUUAACUGUUUUACCUGCAAAUUUGCUAUUGAUGCCUUGACCUUAUGAAUUGAUAUUUAUGAGGUUGAAAAUAUCUUUCAUCAAGUUUUAUCUAUAGACAUCAUUUGGUUUGCACAAUUAUAUGUUAUUAAAAAUAACAAGACCCCAAUAAUUGAGGUCUCCAACAAAGUUUGUCUGCUUUAAAAUCAUAAUUGUUGAUUUUAUGCAAAUAAUUUUUCUUUUUUUUUCAGUUAUGUAAAACUGAAAUUUUUUUUUAAAAAAUAAGUUAAUUUUACCUGUUGCCUUUACUAGUCUUUUAAUGGGAUUUUGAAGUGCCCAUGGUUUAUUUUUCUCCUUCUCUCCCACAAAGAAUUGGUAAACUUUCCUCAAUAAUUCUUUUGUCUGAAAAAAAACAACAACAUUUUGUAUAUGAUCAAAGGGAGGUAAUCCAUAGUAAGAAUGGGAUGUGAUUGUUCUAUAUAAUUGAUUCUUGUUACGUUUCAUUUUUUAAAAUGCAGAGGGUUUGGUAAAAAUGACAGUGCACAAAGAUUAAAUUAUGUACAUGUAGUUAUGUAUAAAGAUUGGAGUUGAAUUUUUGUUAUCGUGUAAUGAUCUUUGUAUAAAUGUUGUCGCUGAUUAAACCAAUUUUUAAGGUUAUUUAUAAUUGCAAGACACUGACAUGUUGUAUGGCAUUCUUAAUCAACAGUUAUCAUUUAUAAUUAUAUAUUAUUGUUGUAUACUAGUAUAUCAAAAUAUUUGUUCUAAUGUAGCUGUGAAAUUGAUUUAAGGUACUGCAUUUGUAGUAAAAUUUAAAUAAUUUGAAAGAUUUCUAAUUUGUUCUAAGCACUUCUUGGUGAUAUUUAUAUUUUUCUUUUGUUGUAAUUUUGUGAGUACAUUAUUAAUUGUAUUAUUAUGGUA
This is a long non-coding RNA of Mytilus californianus (California mussel), 2756 nucleotides long. RefSeq lists it as uncharacterized. The record is from RefSeq and is a predicted model, not a curated record. NCBI's taxonomy places the organism in Eukaryota, Metazoa, Mollusca, Bivalvia, Mytilida, Mytilidae. The transcript has 4 exons.